UAACCAAAAACAGCAAAAUUUCCUUAAAAUUACCAAUUCAGGGGCAGCAACCUAACAACGGGUUGUCCGAUUCAUCUAAAAAUUUCAGGGCAGAUAGAUCUUGACCUGAUAAACAAUUUUACCCAUGUCAGAUUUGCUCUAAAUGCUUUGGUUUUUGAGUUAUAAGCUAAAAACUGCAAUUUUACCCUAUGUUCUAUUUUUAGCCAUGGCGGCCAUAUUUUUUGAUGAAAUGGGAAUUAAAACACAAAC
RNAcentral lists this long non-coding RNA (249 nucleotides) under Mytilus galloprovincialis (Mediterranean mussel). The record is from RNAcentral. Lineage: Eukaryota; Metazoa; Mollusca; Bivalvia; Mytilida; Mytilidae.